Vicugna pacos (alpaca) is the source of this 325-nucleotide non-coding RNA. Lineage: Eukaryota; Metazoa; Chordata; Mammalia; Artiodactyla; Camelidae. The record is from RefSeq and is a predicted model, not a curated record.
AGGCUGACAUCAAUCCCAGUUUCUCCUUUGAGACUCAUCAGAAGACCCUGAUGGAGGAGGAUAAUGCCCAGAGAGAGGAGACCCAGGAGGAUGGAGUCAGUGAUGGACAACAUGUUGUUUUGAGUUCCUCGAGGGCCAUGACCUUCACCUUUGUAAGCCUAGAGUGUCGCUCAGGAUUUGGCAGAGGGUCACACGCCCGCGUGCGGAGGGGGACUGAGGUCGCCCUAGGUCCAGUUGGUCGCCUUCCGCGAAAGCGGCCACCGUUCCAUCUGCAUGGUUUUCAUUGGCUGCAGCAACUGAUUAAAACACGUUGGAAAUAAAAAAA